Molecule: ribosomal RNA, 1134 nt
Filed under: Triticum aestivum (bread wheat)
Lineage: Eukaryota; Viridiplantae; Streptophyta; Magnoliopsida; Poales; Poaceae
Description: partial small subunit ribosomal RNA
Source: RNAcentral
AUGAACAAGGACAGGUCCCGGAUCUCGGCGGACGGCGGCGGCGGCGACGGCCUGCCGCCGCAGCCGUCGCGCCGCUCGGCGACUCCCCCGCCGGAGUACGACAUCAGCCGCAUGCCGGACUUCCCCACCAGGAACCCUGGCCACCGGCGCGCGCACUCCGAGAUCCUCAGCCUCCCGGACGACCUCGACCUCUGCGCGCCCGGGGGCGGCGACGGGCCCUCGCUGUCGGACGAGAACGACGAGGAGCUAUUCUCCAUGUUCCUCGACGUGGACAAGCUCAACUCGUCGUGCGGGCCGUCGUCCGACCAGGCGGAGUCGUCGUCAGCCGCUGCUGCCGGCGGGGGCGAGGCGGCCAGGGCGGGCCACGUGAUGAGGCCGAAGCACCAGCACAGCCAGUCCAUGGACGAGUCGAUGUCGAUCAAGGCCGAGGACCUGGUGGGGGCGCCGGGGAUGGAGGGGAUGUCCACUGUGGAGGCCAAGAAGGCGGUGUCCGCCGCGAAGCUGGCCGAGCUUGCUCUUGUCGACCCCAAGAGGGCAAAAAGGAUUUGGGCUAAUAGACAAUCCGCAGCAAGAUCGAAGGAAAGGAAAAUGCGCUAUAUUGGUGAACUUGAGCGCAAGGUGCAAACCCUGCAGACAGAAGCAACAACAUUGUCAGCCCAGUUGUCAUUGCUACAGAGAGAUACCAGUGGGCUAACAAGUGAGAAUGGUGAAUUGAAGAUACGUCUGCAGAACAUGGAGCAGCAAGUCCACCUACAAGAUGCUCUAAAUGACACCCUGAAAACGGAGGUUCAGCGGCUGAAGGUGGCAACAGGCCAGACGGGCAACGGUGGGGGGAUGCUGAUGAACUAUGGCGGCAUGUCACAGGCGCCACACCAAUUCGGAAGCAACCAGCAGAUGUUCCACAACAACCAGUCCAUGCAGUCUCUGCUAGCGACACACCAGCUGCAACAGCUCCAGCUCCAUCCACAGCCCCAGCAGCAGCAGCAGCCGAUGCGCCCUCAGCACCACCACCACCACCACCAGCAGCCACUGCACCUGCUGCAGGCACAGCAGUUCCAGCAGGCAGCGCGCGACCUCAAGAUGAAAGGGCCGAUGUGGGGUGACGGGAAGUCGUCGGGAAGCGGCGGCAUCUGA